GGAUUAGAUACCCCGGUAGUCCACGCCGUAAACGAUGAUAACUAGCUGUCUGGGCUCUUAGAGCUUAGGUGGCGCAGCUAAUGCAUUAAGUUAUCCGCCUGGGGAGUACGGCCGCAAGGUUAAAACUCAAAUGAAUUGACGGGGCCUGCACAAGCGGUGGAGCAUGGGUUAAUUCGAAGCAACGCGCAGAACCUUACCAGCGUUUGACAUGUCCGGACGAUUUCCAGAGAUGGAUCUCUUCCCUCGGGGACUGGAACACAGGUGCUGCAUGGCUGUCGUCAGCUCGUGUCGUGACGA
Molecule: ribosomal RNA, 297 nt
Filed under: uncultured bacterium
Lineage: Bacteria
Description: partial 16S ribosomal RNA
Rfam family: Bacterial small subunit ribosomal RNA
Source: RNAcentral